ACGGGAGGCAGCAGUAGGGAAUAUUGCACAAUGGGGGGAACCCUGAUGCAGCAACGCCACGUGUGGGAAGAAGCAUUUCGGUGUGUAAACCACUGUCGUGAGGGAAUAAUGCUUGAUUUCGGUCAAGUUGAAUGUACCUCGAAAGGAAGCACCGGCAAACUUCGUGCCAGCAGCCGCGGUACUACGAGGGGUGCAAGCGUUGUUCGGAGUCACUGGGCGUAAAGGGAGCGUAGGCGGAGACGCAAGCAGUCUGUACAAUACCGGGGCCCAACCCCGGACCUGCAGACUGGACUGUGUCUCUUGGAUAGUGCAGGGGCAGGCGGAAUUCCUGGUGUAGCGGCGGAAUGCGUAGAGAUCAGGAAGAACACCGAUGGCGAAGGCAGCCUGCUGGGGACUCAUCGACGCUGAGGCUCGAAAGAGCGGGUAGCAAACAGGAUUAGAUACCCUGGUA
This 451-nucleotide ribosomal RNA is filed under the name uncultured Fibrobacter sp. Its description in RNAcentral is "partial 16S ribosomal RNA". It matches the Rfam family "Bacterial small subunit ribosomal RNA", at positions 341 to 792 of the family's 1533-position model. The record is from RNAcentral. Lineage: Bacteria; Pseudomonadati; Fibrobacterota; Fibrobacteria; Fibrobacterales; Fibrobacteraceae.